UACUGCUCCAUUGGCAAAGUAAACUUAAGACACAAUGAGGGCUUGGAUUAUCCCUGAAAACAUGACCCUUCAGCCCUGGGUUUGCACAGGGAGCAGAAUAAGAGUCUCCAGGGCUUGGCAGAGCCCCCAAGGAAAGGGACCAACUGCUUGCUCGCCAGGUCAGACCCAAGCUUCCUCCAACUCCACGAUGCUACAGCCUGUCAGGGUGCGCCAAUGCAAGAUUACAGUCCUCUUCCUCAUUCACCUGUGAUCUGCUCUCCCCAGGGCUUCUUCUCUCAGCUGAAGUGGUAGCUGGCUCUUUUCCAAGUAGAAGCACUGAAGACUGAAUUUGCCACCCAUUUCAACACUUUCUUCAUGCACACCAGAUGUUUUUAUGCAGAAGCCUGAGGGCUAGGAUGAGCUCUAUAUCACACUCUGAAGAUCAGCAAAUUCUGGCAGCUCCAUGAGUAAAACGAAAUCACAUGAUCUGUCUACCAUAAAUAUCUCACAUCUAGACUUUAGAUGUAGAAAUUAUUAGCAAAAGCACUUCAGCUGUUCUGCAUUGCCAUUCCAGGAAUGACAGAGUGAGAGCUAGAUUCAAGUAUAUUGGCUCUACAACUGGUGCACUGCUCUACUUUUUGAAAUCCCUCAUCAGCCAGAAGAAACUUUCAAUAGCUCAUGGGUUAUCUUCCAUUUAGCUCUUCGCACACCAUCUCCAACAAAAAUUCAUGCCAAGUGGUAGGCAGUUAGCUCCACACUGGACACAACACAACAACCUAGCAUAUGCAAAGAUGGGUUUUAUGUCAUAUUGAAACUGGUAUAAAAGUUUAACAGCUGGAAAACAAGGCAGAGCUGCAUAUUAUCUAUGUACUGAUGGCUUUGUGGCCCAAGUCAGUUUGACCCUUCCAGUGGUUUCUCCUGAGUGCAAGCGGAAGCUGGGAGCUAGACCUUGCAGAGCACUUCACCAGUGACAUCUGCUUCCUCUGAGGCCUUUCGGGGAUAAAAGAACAGAAAUUCCUAAGCAGUCAGUGCCCACAGGUAAACUUCAAAAAGCUGGACUUCAGAGUCUCCCAGAUACUGCUGACAGCUCUGAAAGAAUGAAUACCAAUGCUUGACACCUAAGUAUGCUGAAAGGUUACCUACACGACAGGCUGAAUUCCCACACUAUAGAAUCAUACGGGUAAACAAGAAAUUCUGAGCAAUACUCUUGUUAUUUCAGCAAAAAAAAAAUCUUAAAAAGUGAAGAUUUGAGCUACGGAAGUAGUUGGUCA
This 1250-nucleotide long non-coding RNA is filed under the name Dromaius novaehollandiae (emu). Its description in RNAcentral is "lncRNA (ENSDNVG00000008201.1)". Lineage: Eukaryota; Metazoa; Chordata; Aves; Casuariiformes; Dromaiidae. The record is from RNAcentral.